RNAcentral lists this ribosomal RNA (851 nucleotides) under uncultured bacterium. RNAcentral's name for it is "bacterial SSU rRNA". It matches the Rfam family "Bacterial small subunit ribosomal RNA", at positions 8 to 855 of the family's 1533-position model. The record is from RNAcentral.
AGAGUUUGAUCCUGGCUCAGGACGAACGCUGGCGGCGUGCCUAACACAUGCAAGUCGAGCGGAGUCAGUAAGAGGAAUUUUUCGGAUGGAAUCUUAUUGAUUUAGCGGCGGACGGGUGAGUAACGCGUGAGCGACCAACCUUGCACAGGGGGAUAACGGACCGAAAGGUUCACUAAUACCGCAUAAGACCACGGUGUUGCAUGACACAGGGGUCAAAGGAGCAAUCCGGUGCAAGACGGGCUCGCGUCCGAUUAGGUAGUUGGAGGGGUAACGGCCCACCAAGCCUAUGAUCGGUAGCCGACCUGAGAGGGUGAUCGGCCACAUUGGAACUGAGAUACGGUCCAAACUCCUACGGGAGGCAGCAGUGGGGAAUAUUGGGCAAUGGGGGAAACCCUGACCCAGCAACGCCGCGUGAAGGAAGAAGGUUUUCGGAUUGUAAACUUCUGUCCUUGGUGAAGAGAAGAAGACGGUAGCCAAGGAGGAAGCCCCGGCUAACUACGUGCCAGCAGCCGCGGUAAUACGUAGGGGGCAAGCGUUGUCCGGAAUGAUUGGGCGUAAAGGGCGCGUAGGCGGCUUUGUAAGUCUGGAGUGAAAGUCCUCUUUUCAAGGGAGGAAUUGCUUUGGAAACUAUAGAGCUUGAGUGCAGGAGAGGUUAUCGGAAUUCCCGGUGUAGCGGUGAAAUGCGUAGAUAUCGGGAGGAACAUCGGUGGCGAAGGCGGGUAACUGGACUGCAACUGACGCUGAGGCGCGAAAGUGUGGGGAGCAAACAGGAUUAGAUACCCUGGUAGUCCACACGGUAAACGAUGAAUGCUAGGUGUAGGAGGUAUCGACCCCUUCUGUGCCGCAGUUAA